This 955-nucleotide unclassified non-coding RNA is filed under the name Owenia fusiformis. Its description in RNAcentral is "misc RNA OFUS_LOCUS10359". Lineage: Eukaryota; Metazoa; Annelida; Polychaeta; Sabellida; Oweniidae. The record is from RNAcentral.
GUUCAGUUCAGACUAUGAAUUUAAGAUAGAGAUACUGUAAUAAUACAGAAGUCAAUAUGAAUUUCUUUGGAUUACUUUCUUUCUUGCUCCUGACAGGGGAAUGCCUUGUAAGAUGUUCACAUGAGGAGCAUCUUGAAAAAUGCUUGAUGUUAUGGCCAGAAAUUUCUAAGGAGCAACCAUCCCCAGAACCAGGACUAGAGUGUCCAGUAUUUCAAGAGAAAUCCUGCUGCUACAAGGGAGCAACAGAGCCUAUGUUGUCAGAUCAGCAAGUCCAGGGCAUUACAUACUACAACCAUUGUCCCCAGAAGACAGAACUCUCAGCUCAAUGUCACCAAGAAUUCUUCGAUGAGCUUUGCUUCUUCAUGUGUUCACCUGAUACUGGACCUUGGAUCACUUUUGCAACACAUGAGGAGCCAGUGAGGGAUAGAUUCAUAGAUGUACCAAUAUGUCCUGAAGUGUGUGAGAAGUGGUGGCAGGCAUGUAAACAAGAAUACACAUGUACAGACAACUGGUAUCUUGGCUUCAACAUGUCAACAGGUAGAAACCACUGCCACAACAUUGAUGACUGCAAACCUUAUACAGAAAUCUUUAAAACUGCUAAAAACUUUUGCGAAAGCAUCUGGGAUUUCUCAUUUAAAGUAGUUGAUGAAGGAGAACCGUGUAUGAACUUUGUAUAUGAUCUUACAAAGGAUGAUAAUAAUAGGAGAGUAGCUGAGAUGAAGGCGAAAGAGUUGAGUGAACUUGACAAAAUCAAGAAUGUUGAAUUAUAGGCUUUUCCAGAUAUUAUUCUAUUAACCUUUUGAAUCGGUAGCUUUGAAUCCAAGGAUCAGAAAUUGGGUUGAAACCAGGGAAUUUUCUCAUUUUUGCAAGCUUUUGACAUUUUAUUACGACAAGUGAUGCUCAAUUUAGUGAAAUUAGCAAGCAGUGAUCAUUUCUUCACAUUUUAAAACAUAAU